AUUGAACGCUGGCGGCAUGCUUUACACAUGCAAGUCGAACGGUAACAGGUUAAGCUGACGAGUGGCGAACGGGUGAGUAAUGCAUCGGAACGUGCCCGAUCGUGGGGGAUAACGCAGCGAAAGCUGCGCUAAUACCGCAUACGAUCUGAGGAUGAAAGCGGGGGACCGUAAGGCCUCGCGCGAUCGGAGCGGCCGAUGUCAGAUUAGGUAGUUGGUGGGGUAAAGGCUCACCAAGCCGACGAUCUGUAGCUGGUCUGAGAGGACGACCAGCCACACUGGGACUGAGCAACGGCCCAGACUCCUACGGGAGGCAGCAGUGGGGAAUUUUGGACAAUGGGCGCAAGCCUGAUCCAGCAAUGCCGCGUGCAGGAAGAAGGCCUUCGGGUUGUAAACUGCUUUUGUACGGAGCGAAAAGGCUCUCUCUAAUACAGGGGGCUCAUGACGGUACCGUAAGAAUAAGCACCGGCUAACUACGUGCCAGCAGCCGCCGUAA
RNAcentral lists this ribosomal RNA (493 nucleotides) under uncultured bacterium. RNAcentral's name for it is "partial 16S ribosomal RNA". It matches the Rfam family "Bacterial small subunit ribosomal RNA", at positions 30 to 523 of the family's 1533-position model. The record is from RNAcentral.